CAAACUAAAACAGAUUUGAAACACUUUGAAACAAGAAACUAAAAGGGGGCUUUUGAUUUGGAUGAAGUUGAAACAAACAAACAAGUAUGAAAAACUAGACAGAUUGUAAAACGAAUGUGAGAAAUAAGAUGAUGGAUGGGAUAGCUAGAGGCUUUUUUGAAGGGAAAUUUAUGAGAUUUCUAGAAUGGGAUUUCAAAAUGACUAUCAUGCAUAUUCAAAUCAAAUUUAAUAUACGAAAGCAGCGGAAGCAUUUAAAACAUAUUAUCAAAGCUAUAGUCAUGCAAAUCCCCUUCAAGGUUCAUAGGUUUAUAUAUAAUGCAUCAAAACAUUUUAAAGAAUCAAGAACAAAGUGAAGGUUAGUCUUAUACCUCUUGAUCUAGACUUGAGACCAAGGAUGGACCACCUCCAAGCCCUUUGCUCCUUGAAAUCCUUGAGCCUAGCUUCCCUCCUUGCCUCCUCCACUUUGUUACAAUGAGUGCUCCUAGGUUCUCUUCAAGUUCCCAAAGUAGGAAACCUCUAAAGAUCCUCACCCACUAGUGUAGUGAGAAGGAUGAAGGAAUAACCAAAAGGGUGUAAGAGAUGUUAGUAAAAACCCCCUUUGGUGGCCGGCCUUUGUGUAGUUUAGAGAGCUAUUUUUCUUUUGCCUCUUUGUUGUUUUAACACACAAAAACCCUAAUGAACAAUAUCUUAUAAAGUUGCUUAUAUAGACAAAAAGAAAACCUAGUCAACACUUGACUAAAUAUCUCUCCAAAACCCACAUAAUAUGGCCGGCCCUCUUGUGUUGUUUUUGGGCUUUGGGCUUUUAUUAUUUCAAGUCAUCCAAUGCUUGAAUAAAAGCCCAAUGGGUUUAGGCCCAAUGGGCCUAAUUAAACCCGAACGUUUCUUUAAGCCCAAAACGAUCUUUAUCGCUUUUAUGAUUUCUCUAGACUUUUCUAAAUUAAUCACAACACAUAAUUAAUCCAAUUAAUUGUUUCCAUCAUCCAUUAGUUACUCACUACAAUAGUGUUGUGGUGAACAAUCUUUUAGGUUCUAAUUAGCAAGGCAGUGAGGUGAUUGGCAUCAAUCCAAUUGCUUAUAUUUAAUUCAAUCACUUAGUGAAUUAAAACUUCAUUUUAAUUCACCUUUCUUCUUUGACGACUACAUUUAAUCAUCUAGAAGAACUCACAAGCUAUGAGUGACAUCUAACCAUAUGUCAUAGCUACCCAAGCUAAUGUAGAAGUUUAUUCGAAGAACCUAGUCAGUUGGAAUUACAAUGUAAUUCAAUCCUUCUCUAAUACAAUACUCUCAAUCACAUUAUUAGGGUAUGGAUAUAUCAUGUCAAACCCCUAAUGUGAUUAUUCCUUCUUAUAUGAUCCAAUUGAGUCGUAUAGGAACGCUUUCCUUUAUUACGCUCGAUACUUCGGCCGAAGAUUCCCGAAUCAUAUCUUAGAGUAUUCUUCCUUUCUUAUCGAGGAUUAGAGAUUCCUUGUUGCACAUACACUUGCCUUCAUGACUAAGUGGCUUAACCCCAACUAUGCCGUUGACAUUCUAUUAGAGUGACGUUGACAUAAUCAAAGAUUAAGUACUUAACCACAAGACAACGACGAUGCCUCAGGUCAAAGGAUUACUUACAUUAUUCUAACCAUUUGAGUUACUUGCUUGACAUGUGAGUAGACCUCCAUGCAAGUACUCUGAUUCGAUUGUGUUCAGUGAACUCAUUCCCUUAAUGAGCACCUACAUACUUGUCUUAGUGUCACAACACGAAUGGGAUGAGACUUUCCAUCCUUCCAAUUGAAGCGGACACAGUAUGUACCGGUCUAAGCAUUGUCAGUAUCCCUCCGACAAUCCAACGACCAGGAACCUUUUGGACAUAAUGGUUAUGUGAAGAAGGUCUCUGUAGUCUAACAUCAUUAGAUUGCUUCUUCAAUCGAUCCAUUGUCCAUGGAUUCACUAUUCAGGACAUAUAUCGUUUAUUGAGAUAGUCCUAAUUAGUAUCUUUGCCAUUUGAUGUAUAAGAAUCAUCCAUACAUCGAUUCAUUUGUCCUGAAAGAUUUCUUCCAAAGAUUGACUUUCAGGGCAUAUUUCCAACAUUUUUCUCCACACAUGACAUGUAUGCAAAUAACUCGAUUUCCAGUUACUACUUCAUUGAAUUAUGAAUGACAAUGCUCCAAAUUAACCGUGGCAUCACUAGUUAACUCUCAGAUUUUCCUUGUUUUAUUGGAUUGGAUGACAUCAUUCGACAACCUAAAACAUUCUUCUAAAGUUCCUUACAUGACAUCAUAAUAGAGAUACAAUCAAAGAUCAUUACGUUUAAUGAAAAUCAUAAUCAUUGACAAAGCACUUGCAACUAUGACAUCAUGUCACUCAUGCUAGGAAUUGAACUUAACGCGAUCGU
RNAcentral lists this long non-coding RNA (2374 nucleotides) under Malus domestica (apple). Its description in RNAcentral is "long non-coding RNA (MDOM_LNC012930)". Lineage: Eukaryota; Viridiplantae; Streptophyta; Magnoliopsida; Rosales; Rosaceae. The record is from RNAcentral.